This 68-nucleotide transfer RNA is filed under the name Zyginella minuta. RNAcentral describes it as "tRNA-Tyr". Lineage: Eukaryota; Metazoa; Arthropoda; Insecta; Hemiptera; Cicadellidae. The record is from RNAcentral.
ACUAAGGUGUCUGACUAAUAGGUAGUAAACUGUAAAUUUACUUAAGAAUUUAAUUAAUUCCCUUGGUA